AAAUGCCCUCAUAAUAGAUGAUUUUUACAUUGGUACAAUGACAUGAAACAACUUGCAAUGGAUCGAAAUAAGCAAAUCCUUACAAAAUGAAGAGAAAGUAAAGAAGAUCCAUAAUUGAACAAAAAAAUAAUACUUCCACACCAUAUAUUAGUAACUAAGCAAAUACUUACAGCACAAAAAUAUUACAAAUAUGUCUCUACAUACAUACUGCCUAAUCAUGCCACAUCACCGGGACAGAGCUAGGAUUUCCAAAAUAGCAGAUAAAAUUAUAGUAUUUUGGUAUUUAGACAUAAAUUUGAACAGACAAAACUAUAUAAGAUAUAAAAAAGAUACAAAAUACAACCUAAAUACAAUAACUAUUUCAUUUUUUUUGCCCGGACAAUCACUAAGUCGAAUCCGGGCCUUGGCUCCGUCUCUGGAUAUGCAUGAGAAAAUCAAGAAGCUAAAAAAAGGAAAUAUAAAUCUAGAGAGAGAGAGAGAAUAAGUCAUGUAUCUAUCCCCUCAGAAGUCUCAACUAUGCUGUCCAAAGAUGGCUUCCAAGCCACACUACUUCUCUCUCUACUUGUUUGAAUCUCUUGCAAAACAUCCUCAAUUUUCUUACCUUGUGUUUGUUGAAGCUCACUCAUCAGCCAUUCUAGCUCCUCCUUGGUUAAAACUAUCUUUAUUCUCACCUUCUUGUUGCUCUCCGAUUCCGCCAUUUCCUCCUUGAUUUCCGCUGCUUCUUCGGAGCUGCUGUUUCUCAAUGUCUCAAUGCAAUUUCCCAUCACUUAGAUUGUUUAAUUUUUUUGGUUUGCAGGAAUUAAAGUGAAAUAUUUGGUUAGCUAGGUAGCUAUAUAUUAAAAUGUGAUGAAGAGAUAUAGAAUAAGUAGCUAAUAAUUGAAGAGAGUUGAUAGGAGUGGUUAAGAAGUGCAUGUGAGUGUGGGCUCACAAAGCUCUCCAGCUUCUUGAGGGGUAGAGACAGACCAUCCACUUUUCAAUCUCUUUGUCUUUUCCUUCACAAG
This 1001-nucleotide long non-coding RNA is filed under the name Salvia miltiorrhiza (redroot sage). RNAcentral's name for it is "long non-coding RNA (SMIL_LNC012355)". Lineage: Eukaryota; Viridiplantae; Streptophyta; Magnoliopsida; Lamiales; Lamiaceae. The record is from RNAcentral.